AUGGAAGAAAAAUAGCGCCGCUGAGGUGAUUGUGCCUCCCUGUUUUGAUUCCUAUGCUUUCCCUUGGUUUAGUGGUCACUGGCUGAAAUUUCCCCAAAGGAAGGGAUUCUUCCCAGAAAAGAAGGGAAAGAUAGCUCCGAUUAACGACAUGCCUUAAACCAACCAAAGGUGCGAGUGUCCCAGUCUUCACUGAAGCAGACCAGAUUCUAAAUCUUCAUACUUUGUACGAUUUCCAGCCAGUCUGUUGUCAGCUGCAACUGGUUCUUUUCAUCUUUUGUGGUAAAUGUCAGAAGCAUGGCUGUUGGUCUACAAGAGCUCUAGAGUCUUCUUUGGAGCAGGAACCUGACAUUUUGUACCAAAAUAGCCUAAAAACAGCCUCAGGGUCAUACCGUCACUUCAAAAGUUAACGCAUCAAAGAUUUAACACCUGGUAAGUACUGCAAGUGUUACUUUGAAAAGUGAAAGUUAUUUUCAUUUGAAAAGUGUUCCAAGGUUUGACAGCAUUUCCCACACAUUCAUACUGUCUUCCAACUGGAAAAAUUUGGAAAAUAGUAGGGA
This 557-nucleotide long non-coding RNA is filed under the name Calidris pygmaea (Spoon-billed sandpiper). RNAcentral's name for it is "lncRNA (ENSCPGG00000017081.1)". Lineage: Eukaryota; Metazoa; Chordata; Aves; Charadriiformes; Scolopacidae. The record is from RNAcentral.